Molecule: ribosomal RNA, 472 nt
Filed under: uncultured organism
Description: partial 16S ribosomal RNA
Rfam family: Bacterial small subunit ribosomal RNA
Source: RNAcentral
ACACUCCUGCGGGAGGCAGCAGUGGGGAAUUUUGGACAAUGGGCGAAAGCCUGAUCCAGCCAUGCCGCGUGCAGGAUGAAGGCCUUCGGGUUGUAAACUGCUUUUGUACGGAACGAAACGGCCUUUUCUAAUAAAGAGGGCUAAUGACGGUACCGUAAGAAUAAGCACCGGCUAACUACGUGCCAGCAGCCGCGGUAAUACGUAGGGUGCAAGCGUUAAUCGGAAUUACUGGGCGUAAAGCGUGCGCAGGCGGUUAUGUAAGACAGUUGUGAAAUCCCCGGGCUCAACCUGGGAACUGCAUCUGUGACUGCAUAGCUAGAGUACGGUAGAGGGGGAUGGAAUUCCGCGUGUAGCAGUGAAAUGCGUAGAUAUGCGGAGGAACACCGAUGGCGAAGGCAAUCCCCUGGACCUGUACUGACGCUCAUGCACGAAAGCGUGGGGAGCAAACAGGAUUAGAUACCCUGGUAGUCCC